UACGUAGGGUGCGAGCGUUAAUCGGAAUUACUGGGCGUAAAGCGUGCGCAGGCGGUUUUGUAAGCCAGAUGUGAAAUCCCCGGGCUUAACCUGGGAAUGGCAUUUGGGACUGCAAGGCUUGAGUGCGGCAGAGGAGACUGGAAUUCCUGGUGUAGCAGUGGAAUGCGCAGAUAUCAGGAGGAACACCGAUGGCGAAGGCAGGUCUCUGGGCCAUUACUGACACUGAGAAGCGAAAGCAUGGGGAGCGAACAGG
This 253-nucleotide ribosomal RNA is filed under the name uncultured bacterium. Its description in RNAcentral is "partial 16S ribosomal RNA". It matches the Rfam family "Bacterial small subunit ribosomal RNA", at positions 524 to 776 of the family's 1533-position model. The record is from RNAcentral.